GGAUGUGAGGGUGAUCUGGCUGUGACAUCUAUCACCGUAUAAACCACCAAGGUUGAUUUGGCUGAUCUGGCUGGCUAGGCAGUGUCCCCUUCCUCCCUUACUCAAUGUGCAUCCCUCCUGAAGCUGUGUACUUGAUCGAAGAGGAUGAAGAGAAGAACUGGUCUUCAGUUAAGGGUAUUUGAGUAGCUGCAUUCCCCUGCUGGAAUCUCCAAACAACCUCUCACAAGAUUCAGGAAUUGUUUCUACAUCUGACAUCAGGGUGUUCUUAUGUCCUAUGGGAAACUCAUAAAACUCAUAAUUCAAAAAAAAAAAAAAAAAACACUAAGUUU
RNAcentral lists this small nuclear RNA (329 nucleotides) under Jaculus jaculus (lesser Egyptian jerboa). RNAcentral's name for it is "7SK RNA (ENSJJAG00000003625.1)". The stretch from base 1 to 272 matches the Rfam family "7SK RNA". From Rfam's summary of the family: 7SK was discovered as an abundant small nuclear RNA in the mid-70s but a possible function has only recently been suggested. Two independent studies have found that 7SK RNA binds the CDK9/cyclin T complex (known as elongation factor P-TEFb). P-TEFb activates transcription by phosphorylating the C-terminal domain of RNA polymerase II. Lineage: Eukaryota; Metazoa; Chordata; Mammalia; Rodentia; Dipodidae. The record is from Rfam by way of RNAcentral.